UUCAACCGUCCGAUUGAAGAUUAAAUCGAUUAUUUAGAUCUACGAUCAGAUAUCUGUUUUAGGUCUGUGGCUGUUUAGAAGAAGUGCAAAAACAAAACACUAUCCUCCGUCUUCACAAAAAUUUUAAUUGCAGGUGCCUCUAAGAACCCUAAUUCCCCCCCCCCCCUCUCUCUCUCUCUCUCGUCUUCUCCACUUUUUAAUUUUUCUUCCAAAAUCUCGGUGCCCACUCAUCUUCUCCCUAAUUCCCUCUUCCCACUCGUCUUCUCUAUGUUCACCACAACGAAUUGAAGGUAUGGUUUUUGUGAUUCAGUUAAAAUUGGUGAUUCAGGUUUUCAUUAGAACUUUUUUCCUUGCAAUCUCUCUCUCUCUCUCUCUCUCUCUCUCUCUCUCUCUCUCUCU
Molecule: long non-coding RNA, 399 nt
Filed under: Aquilegia coerulea
Lineage: Eukaryota; Viridiplantae; Streptophyta; Magnoliopsida; Ranunculales; Ranunculaceae
Description: long non-coding RNA (ACOE_LNC000031)
Source: RNAcentral